RNAcentral lists this transfer RNA (72 nucleotides) under Elusimicrobia bacterium CG08_land_8_20_14_0_20_51_18. RNAcentral's name for it is "tRNA-Arg". It matches the Rfam family "tRNA". From Rfam's summary of the family: Transfer RNA (tRNA) molecules are approximately 80 nucleotides in length. Their secondary structure includes four short double-helical elements and three loops (D, anti-codon, and T loops). The record is from RNAcentral. Lineage: Bacteria; Pseudomonadati; Elusimicrobiota.
GCCCCCAUAGCUUAAUGGAUAAAGCACCUGCCUUCUAAGCAGAUGAUCCAGGUUCGAUUCCUGGUGGGGGCA